UUGUGUGGCUUACCACACUUUGCACAAACUGCAUUAUCCGCACCAGAGCUUGAGCCACUCCCUAGUCCCAGAUUGGACUUGAUCUUGUUCCAGAACUUGUUCUUCUUCGGCUUCCUAGUGGUGUUACUCCACCUUUUGCUACCUGAAGCUGCUGCACUCAGAGAAGAAGAGCCUGGGGUCUUAGAACCAGAGGGCUGUGCCACUGACUGUUUAACUGUCCCCUGAAUGAUGGCACUAGCCUCCAUUUUCCGGGCCAUAUCUACUAUGGCAUGGAAGCUCUCCCUAUCUGCUGACUG
This 296-nucleotide long non-coding RNA is filed under the name Manihot esculenta (cassava). Its description in RNAcentral is "long non-coding RNA (MESC_LNC004297)". The record is from RNAcentral. Lineage: Eukaryota; Viridiplantae; Streptophyta; Magnoliopsida; Malpighiales; Euphorbiaceae.